AGAGAGCUACAGAUUCGGAUGACAGGCAGCUUCGACGGAGGGAUUCGGAGCUAGAUCAAGAUGCCCGGAAGAACAGUCCACCGGGCCGGCGAUGCGGAUCGGAAGGAACGCUUUCCCAAGUAUAGAGAGAGAGAGAGAGAGAGAGAGAGAGAGAGAGAGAGAGAGAGGAGCGACGACUUCGGGGAGACUGGAGGCGGAGGCCGUUGAAGGAGGGAGGGGAGGGAUUGUUCACGGCGGAUCAGAAGAGGGUUAAGAUCUGACCGCCCAUGUCCAUCAUCGACGGGUUCGAUCUUGAUGGACGGUUGGAUCGUGUCGAUAAUGGUCGCCAAAACAAGAAAUCUAGAACCUUCUUCGGCUUG
This 359-nucleotide long non-coding RNA is filed under the name Musa acuminata (dwarf banana). RNAcentral describes it as "long non-coding RNA (MACU_LNC003172)". The record is from RNAcentral. Lineage: Eukaryota; Viridiplantae; Streptophyta; Magnoliopsida; Zingiberales; Musaceae.